AUGGAGAAGAAACAUGAGGGUAUAGUUGGAAUCAUAAAUAGCCAAGCCAAAACUUUAAAUUUAUGUGAACUUGUUGAAUCUUUAAAGAAUGACCAAAUACCUGCAAAUAUGAAUGAGGUCAACCGUAGAAAAUCAACAGGGACCAACAGUGAGAGGGGGUAGAGUGCCUCAAAUGUGUAACCACACAAUGCACUUUGCCACCUUU
RNAcentral lists this long non-coding RNA (205 nucleotides) under Trifolium pratense (red clover). RNAcentral's name for it is "long non-coding RNA (TPRA_LNC001119)". Lineage: Eukaryota; Viridiplantae; Streptophyta; Magnoliopsida; Fabales; Fabaceae. The record is from RNAcentral.